CAGUAACGGCGAGUGAAGCGGCAACAGCUCAAAUUUGAAAUCUGGCUCCUUCGGGGUCCGAAUUGUAAUUUGUAGAGAGUGCUUCGGGCGAGACCUCGGUCUAAGUCCAUUGGAACAUGGUGUCAUAGAGGGUGAGAAUCCCGUAUGCGACCGUGGCUCGAGCCCAUGUGAAGCCUCUUCGACGAGUCGAGUUGUUUGGGAAUGCAGCUCAAAACGGGUGGUAAAUUUCAUCUAAAGCUAAAUACUGGCUGGAGACCGAUAGCGCACAAGUAGAGUGAUCGAAAGAUGAAAAGCACUUUGGAAAGAGAGUCAAACAGUACGUGAAAUUGUUGAAAGGGAAGCGCUUGCAACCAGACCUGCCCGUAGGCGAUCAGCCGCUGUUCUCAGCGGUGCACUCGCUCUGCGAUCAGGCCAGCAUCGGUUUCGGCGGUCGGAUAAAGGCCUUGGGAAUGUAGCUUCCCUUCGGGGAAGUCUUAUAGCCCUCGGUGUAAUGCGGCCAGCCGGGACCGAGGACCGCGCUUCGGCUAGGAUGCUGGCGUAAUGGUUGUAAGCGACCCGUCUUGAAACACGGACCAAGGAGUCUAACAUCUAUGCGAGUGUUUGGGUGUCAAACCCAUACGCGGAAUGAAAGUGAACGGAGGUGAGAACCCUUAAGGGCGCAUCAUCGACCGAUCCAGAUGUCUUCGGAUGGAUUUGAGUAUGAGCAUAGCUGUUGGGACCCGAAAGAUGGUGAACUAUGCCUGAAUAGGGUGAAGCCAGAGGAAACUCUGGUGGAGGCUCGCAGCGGUUCUGACGUGCAAAUCGAUCGUCAAAUUUGGGUAUAGGGGCGAAAGACUAAUC
RNAcentral lists this ribosomal RNA (840 nucleotides) under Xanthoparmelia chlorochroa. RNAcentral's name for it is "eukaryotic LSU rRNA". It matches the Rfam family "Eukaryotic large subunit ribosomal RNA", at positions 81 to 936 of the family's 3401-position model. The record is from RNAcentral. Lineage: Eukaryota; Fungi; Ascomycota; Lecanoromycetes; Lecanorales; Parmeliaceae.